AGAAAUGAUUUAAUAAAAACGUUAUAUAAAAAUAUCUUACUGAGUUCAUCUGUAUCUUCAGGUUCUUCCUUCUUCACAGGCUUCAUCUGGAAACCUCCACACUGUUGGUCCUCUGAGAAGAGCAGUUCCACAGAAGCAACAAGUUCUGGAGGGAUUAAAGUGACUUCACCUGAAAUUCAUCAAUAUGAGAAGAAGAAACUCAACAACUGGAGGAAACUGAAGAUGAGGCUCUACAGUACAAACACAGCAGCUUCUUGUUCUUCUUAUGAUGGUUAAUGGGGGAUGGUAGAACAACUUAAGACGCACCAGCGCCACCAACUGGACUGGAGUUGAACAGCAGCUCAGCAGUAAUAAAUCUCCACUAGCACAUCUGUAUCUCUCUAUUGCCGAGGAGUUAAUAUGUGUGUUUAUAUCACUUCAUGUAUCUACACGUAUCUAUUCUAUUAAUAUUCAUAAGCAUGCACACACACAUACACACACACACACACAUACACAACACACACACAUGCUUCCACGUUCACAUGUUUUUGCUGUAUGUGUUAUGUAGAUAAUAUUUGGGUGAUUUGAUGUAUGUUUAUGUUGUUGAGCUUUGAAUGUUAUUUUUGCUUCACUGUAUGUAUGGUGCAUCAUUAAACUGUUAUACAUUAUUUUA
Long non-coding RNA from Trichomycterus rosablanca, 652 nucleotides. RefSeq lists it as uncharacterized. The transcript has 2 exons. Lineage: Eukaryota; Metazoa; Chordata; Actinopteri; Siluriformes; Trichomycteridae. The record is from RefSeq and is a predicted model, not a curated record.